This is a long non-coding RNA of Motacilla alba alba, 1531 nucleotides long. RefSeq lists it as uncharacterized. The transcript has 3 exons. The record is from RefSeq and is a predicted model, not a curated record. NCBI's taxonomy places the organism in Eukaryota, Metazoa, Chordata, Aves, Passeriformes, Motacillidae.
AGGAAAUGUAAUACCAGGAAGAAAUUAAUCCCUCCUUGCAAUGCAUCACCUAAUUUAACAAUCAUCUAUAAAUUAAACAACAAUAUUUGGCUAAACCCUUGGAAAUAUCAGAAACUAGGAAAAAAAGCAAUGCCAAUUAUUCAUGACAUUUCUGAAAAUUGAGGGAGAAAAUUGGAUUGUGCCGGAGUAAUGAAUCUGGUAAAUAAAGCGGAGGAAAUAGAGUGCGACAAGUGAAGACGACCGGUACUACAUUACGAGAUCAGCUUUAAUCAAAGAAGACAGUCCAGAAAAACCUCCAUCAAAGCUUCUCUUCAAUCCAGGCAAAUACUUGUAUUAGAAUUCCCUGCUGGAGCAUGACAUUUUGCAGAUCUGAAGGGCAGCCAGGCAGAGUUUGGACAAGCAGCUUUCUCUAUGGCUUUGAUGGGCAGGAGCAUGGGCUGGAUGUUCUCCAAAGUCCUGUUUCCUGUGACUCUAUGAGAAUUGUCUUGAGAGUUGCCCUACCCUUCAGAAGGGUGGCAGCUGCUCUUACAGUAAGUCACUCUUACAAACUUGUUUGCUUUCCAACAAAACCAAGGAGGCUAUAGGGUAUGCACAGCACUGAAUUCUGCACAAACCAGAGGUCUUCUCUCUUGGCCCCUUACUGGAUUGCUCCAAUAUGGCAGAAAGUGGUGAGGAAGACUAUAAUCAUCUGCUGCGGGAUUGACUCAGCAAUCAUUUAAAAAUAUACAUAAUUUUGGGUAGCCAGAAGAGAACUUGUUCACUUGCUCAUUUUGUGCAUCCAAACUCCUACACUGGAUGAAUAUGAAUGAGUCCUUGCAAUUAGAGACAGUUUGCCUGAAGCACUGUGGAUUCCCUUCCUCCAGCCUGUGAUUCAACUGCUCUGCCACUACUACCUGAGGUGUUCAAAGCAAGCACUGUCUCACAGGGCCAGCAACAGUGUAAAUAAGCCUUUCGCAGAUGAGCUUUGCUUGCUUCUGAUGCAGCAGCUUGAGGCAGUACUGCUCUGCCAGUCUGAAGAGUGGAAAAAACCCCAUAGUCCCAUUCUUCUACUGGUUCUAGGUUUGAGGGGUGUUAUAAGUGUAAUUUUCAGAUUUUAGACCUGAAAAGCAAAGAAAUAAAUUGUCUGCCAACUCUGGUGAGGGCUUAGAUGGCAUUUCCCCCCACAAUAGGAAAAUAGGACUGAUAGAUUAAAUUACCUGCAGUGUGAGCACAUGGAUUCACAAGGGACAGUCCUGUUUAACCAAUUUUGUUAUCAUACACUCACACAUCUAUUGGCUGAAGGGAAGACAGUGAAUGCAAAUUUUCUGGAUUUUAGUAAUGCCUUUGAUAUUGUGCCUCACAUCAUCCUUUUGGACAAGUUAUCCAAACAUGGGAUGAGCUGGUUCACAAUGCACUGGGUGAAGAACUGGCUGAAGGACAGGGCUCAUGUGGUUGUGGUGAAUCAGGUCACAUCUGGCUGGUUACUGGUCACCAGCAGUGCUCCUCAGGGCUCAAUCCUCUUCUCUUCUCUUCUCUUCUCUUCUCUUCUCUU